RNAcentral lists this ribosomal RNA (540 nucleotides) under uncultured bacterium. RNAcentral describes it as "bacterial SSU rRNA". It matches the Rfam family "Bacterial small subunit ribosomal RNA", at positions 772 to 1313 of the family's 1533-position model. The record is from RNAcentral.
ACUAAAUAGAUACCCAGGUAGUCCACGCCGUAAACGAUGGAUACUUGGUGUUAGAGGUAUUGACCCCUCUAGUGCCGAAAGCUAAACGCGUUAAGUAUCCCGCCUGGGAAGUACGGUCGCAAGAUUAAAACUCAAAGAAAUUGACGGGGGCCCGCACAAGCGGUGGAGCAUGUGGUUCAAUUCGAUGCAACGCGAAGAACCUUACCUAGGUUUGACAUGUAUUGGAAGACUACCAGAAAUGGUGUCGCCUUCGGGCCGAUACACAGGUGCUGCAUGGCUGUCGUCAGCUCGUGUCGUGAGAUGUUGGGUUAAGUCCCGCAACGAGCGCAACCCUUGCUAUUAGUUGCCAGCAUUUAGUUGGGCACUCUAGUAGGACUGCCGACGUUAAGUCGGAGGAAGGUGGGGAUGACGUCAAGUCCUCAUGGCCCUUAUAUCUAGGGCUACACACGUGCUACAAUGGUCGGAACAGAGGGAAGCUAAGUAGUGAUAUGGUGCUAAUCCCAGAAAACCGAUCUAAGUUCGGAUUGGAGUCUGCAACUC